This 991-nucleotide long non-coding RNA is filed under the name Olea europaea subsp. europaea. Lineage: Eukaryota; Viridiplantae; Streptophyta; Magnoliopsida; Lamiales; Oleaceae. The record is from RNAcentral.
ACUUAAACUCCACAAAGUUGUUACUUUCACUUUCUCAAGAUAAAUGUCCAUGAGAUUAAAGCUAAUAUAAAUUCAUAUUAAAAAGCUUAAUUGAAAACUCAAAACAAUAGACCCGGCAUGGUCCCCAAUAAGAUUUUCAUGAGCCUCGUUACUGCAACGAGAUGAAGAAGAUCAAGUCGCUAUAAUUCUGACUUGAGAAGUAAAUAUGGGAGAAAAAGGAACUUCGUACAUUGGAUAAAGUAAUAUGGCAUUGAUAGGCCAAGCAUUACAAAGAGUAGUAAUUUUUAUAUCAGUUAAAGACAAAUGUAAGCAUCAACAUAUCUGGACAAACGUCUAAAUUUCAACAAAUUUGUGGUUUCUAGUUGUCCAAGAGGGAUUUCAAGCCCUUCGAUAAAGCAGAUGACGAUGUUAAAGAAGCCUUAUGUAAGGCUAGUGCCUGUACACUAGUCAUGAAAAAAUCAAAUUCUCAUACAAAGUGUAGUAAUCACAUUCGAGAUGAAAGAUUGGUGGGCAGGUUAAUUUACCUCAUGUUGGCCGAUAGUUUCCAAUCUCACUUCAAUAUCAUCAACAGGUACGAUCAGUUCUUUAAGGAAAGAAAUACAAGAUGCAGAAGAUGAAGGCGUCACUACCAAGUUAUCUGACACCACAAAUAAUUGAUUUUCCAUCAAAAAUUUACCAAAGCACUCCGUACUGGGUUUUGAGUUGAAGAUCGUCCUCACAUUCUAUAGAUCUAAUUUUUAAUAACUGAGCCUUACACUUGUACCGCUCAAGAAAACCAACAUCUGUUAUAACUUUGUUCUUUAAAUAAAGAAACAUCUGAUACAUAGACUUCACAUUUUUAUACAAGAUGUCAAUGCAUCCCUAUCCAGAGUCCCACCCAAGAAGUUUUAUCAAGAAGUUUUUUUUUUCUUUUUUUUUUUGCUCGGUAGUAAUUCGAAACCUACAUAGUACACAUCAGAAUAUUAAGGUAAAUUCGAUAAAUGAAUAAAUG